CUCUUGGGGAUUAGUGGCGAACGGGUGAGUAACACGUGAGUAACCUGCCCUUGACUCUGGGAUAACCUCCGGAAACGGAAGCUAAUACCGGAUACGAACUGCGAAGGCAUCUUCAGCAGUUGGAAAGAACUUCGGUCAAGGAUGGACUCGCGGCCUAUCAGGUAGUUGGUGAGGUAACGGCCCACCAAGCCUACGACGGGUAGCCGGCCUGAGAGGGUGACCGGCCACACUGGGACUGAGACACGGCCCAGACUCCUACGGGAGGCAGCAGUGGGGAAUAUUGCACAAUGGGCGCAAGCCUGAUGCAGCAACGCCGCGUGAGGGAUGACGGCCUUCGGGUUGUAAACCUCUUUUAGUAGGGAAGAAGCGAAAGUGACGGUACCUGCAGAAAAAGCACCGGCUAACUACGUGCCAGCAGCCGCGGUAAUACGUAGGGUGCGAGCGUUGUCCGGAAUUAUUGGGCGUAAAGAGCUCGUAGGCGGUCUGUCGCGUCUGCUGUGAAAACCCGAGGCUCAACCUCGGGCCUGCAGUGGGUACGGGCAGACUAGAGUGCGGUAGGGGAGAAUGGAAUUCCUGGUGUAGCGGUGGAAUGCGCAGAUAUCAGGAGGAACACCGAUGGCGAAGGCAGUUCUCUGGGCCGU
Molecule: ribosomal RNA, 641 nt
Filed under: Leifsonia sp. I15A-00523
Lineage: Bacteria; Bacillati; Actinomycetota; Actinomycetes; Micrococcales; Microbacteriaceae
Description: bacterial SSU rRNA
Rfam family: Bacterial small subunit ribosomal RNA
Source: RNAcentral